ACUCAAAUGAAUUGACGGGGGCCCGCACAAGCGGUGGAGCAUGUGGUUCAAUUCGACGCAACGCGAAGAACCUUACCCAGGCUUGAACAGCGAGUGACCACUCCUGAAAGGGAGCUUCCGCAAGGACACUCGUAGAGGUGCUGCAUGGCUGUCGUCAGCUCGUGUCGUGAGAUGUUGGGUUAAGUCCCGCAACGAGCGCAACCCUUGUCUUCUGUUGCCAUCAGGUUAUGCUGGGCACUCUGGAGAGACUGCCGGUGAUAAACCGGAGGAAGGUGGGGAUGACGUCAAGUCAGCAUGGCCUUUAUGUCUGGGGCUACACACGUGCUACAAUGGCCGGCACAAACCGUCGCGAGCCCGCAAGGGGGAGCUAAUCGGAGAAAGUCGGUCUCAGUUCGGAUCGUCGGCUGCAACUCGCCGGCGUGAAGUUGGAAUCGCUAGUAAUCGCGGAUCAGCACGCCGCGGUGAAUACGUUCCCGGGCCUUGUACACACCGCCCGU
Molecule: ribosomal RNA, 497 nt
Filed under: uncultured bacterium
Lineage: Bacteria
Description: partial 16S ribosomal RNA
Rfam family: Bacterial small subunit ribosomal RNA
Source: RNAcentral